GAUGAACGCUGGCGGCGUGCCUAAUACAUGCAAGUCGAGCGAACGGACGAGAAGCUUGCUUUUCUGAUGUUAGCGGCGGACGGGUGAGUAACACGUGGAUAACCUACCUAUAAGACUGGGAUAACUUCGGGAAACCGGAGCUAAUACCGGAUAAUAUUUUGAACCGCAUGGUUCAAAAGUGAAAGACGCUCUUGCUGUCACUUAUAGAUGGAUCCGCGCUGCAUUAGCUAGUUGGUAAGGUAACGGCUUACCAAGGCAACGAGGCAUAGCCGACCUGAGAGGGUGAUCGGCCACACUGGAACUGAGACACGGUCCAGACUCCUACGGGAGGCAGCAGUAGGGAAUCUUCCGCAAUGGGCGAAAGCCUGACGGAGCAACGCCGCGUGAGUGAUGAAGUUCUUCGGAUCGUAAAACUCUGUUAUUAGGGAAGAACAUAUGUGUAAGUAACUGUGCACAUCUUGACGGUACCUAAUCAGAAAGCCACGGCUAACUACGUG
RNAcentral lists this ribosomal RNA (497 nucleotides) under uncultured bacterium. Its description in RNAcentral is "partial 16S ribosomal RNA". It matches the Rfam family "Bacterial small subunit ribosomal RNA", at positions 28 to 507 of the family's 1533-position model. The record is from RNAcentral.